Molecule: ribosomal RNA, 889 nt
Filed under: uncultured archaeon
Lineage: Archaea
Description: bacterial SSU rRNA
Rfam family: Archaeal small subunit ribosomal RNA
Source: RNAcentral
UGCUAGUCGAACGACCAGAACUAUGUCUGGGAGUGGCACACUGCUCAGUAACACGUAGCUAACCUACCCUAGGACGUGGAUACCCCCGAGAAAUUGGGGUUAAUCCGCGAUAGAUGUAAUGUCCUGGAAUGGUAUUACGUCUAAAGGUAUUUCAUACAUGUUUGAAAUAUGCCUAAGGAUGGGGCUGCGGCCGAUCAGGCUGUUGGUGAGGUAAUGGCUCACCAAACCUUUGACCGGUACGGGCCAUGAGAGUGGUAGCCCGGAGAUGGACACUGAGACAAGGGUCCAGGCCCUAAGGGGCGCAGCAACCGCGAAACCUCCACAAUGCACUCACGUGCGAUGGGGCUAUCUCGAGUGCCACCUGAUGAAGGUGGCUUUUCCUUGGUCUUCAAAGCCUUGGGAAUAAGAGGGGGGCAAGACUGGUGUCAGCCGCCGCGGUAACACCAGCCCCUCGAGUGGUGGGGAUGAUUAUUUGGCCUAAAGCGUCCGUAGCCGGCCGUGAAAGUCUUCCGUUAAAUCCAGCGUCUCAAGCGUUGGACUGCGGGAGAUACUACACGGCUAGAGAGUGGGAGAGGUCAGCGGUAUUCUGGGGGUAGGGGCGAAAUCCUUUGAUCCCCGGAGGACCACCAGCGGCGAAGGCUGCUGACUAGAACACGUCUGACGGUCAGGGACGAAAGCUGGGGUAGCGAACCGGAUUAGAUACCCGGGUAGUCCCAGCCGUAAACGAUGCAUGCUAGGUGUUGGGUUGGCCACGAGCCACCCCAGUGCCGCAGGGAAGCCGUUAAGCAUGCCGCCUGGGAAGUACGAUCGCAAGAUUGAAACUUAAAGGAAUUGGCGGGGGAGCACCACCAGGCGUGAAGCCUGCGGUUUAAUUGGAGUCAACGCCGGA